Molecule: ribosomal RNA, 465 nt
Filed under: Vreelandella stevensii
Lineage: Bacteria; Pseudomonadati; Pseudomonadota; Gammaproteobacteria; Oceanospirillales; Halomonadaceae
Description: partial 16S ribosomal RNA
Rfam family: Bacterial small subunit ribosomal RNA
Source: RNAcentral
CCUACGGGAGGCUGCAGUGGGGAAUAUUGGACAAUGGGCGAAAGCCUGAUCCAGCCAUGCCGCGUGUGUGAAGAAGGCCUUCGGGUUGUAAAGCACUUUCAGUGGGGAAGAAAGCCUUGGGGCUAAUACCCUCGAGGAAGGACAUCACCCACAGAAGAAGCACCGGCUAACUCCGUGCCAGCAGCCGUGGUAAUACGGAGGGUGCGAGCGUUAAUCGGAAUUACUGGGCGUAAAGCGCGCGUAGGCGGUCUGAUAAGCCGGUUGUGAAAGCCCCGGGCUCAACCUGGGAACGGCAUCCGGAACUGUCAGGCUAGAGUGCAGGAGAGGAAGGUAGAAUUCCCGGUGUAGCGGUGAAAUGCGUAGAGAUCGGGAGGAAUACCAGUGGCGAAGGCGGCCUUCUGGACUGACACUGACGCUGAGGUGCGAAAGCGUGGGUAGCAAACAGGAUUAGAUACCCCUGUAGUC